GACGAACGCUGGCGGCGUGCUUAACACAUGCAAGUCGAACGGAAAGGCCCUGCUUUUGUGGGGUGCUCGAGUGGCGAACGGGUGAGUAACACGUGAGUAACCUGCCCUUGACUUUGGGAUAACUUAAGGAAACUGGGGCUAAUACCGGAUAGGAGCUCCUGCUGCAUGGUGGGGGUUGGAAAGUUUCGGCUGUUGGGGAUGGACUCGCGGCUUAUCAGCUUGUUGGUGGGGUAGUGGCUUACCAAGGCUUUGACGGGUAGCCGGCCUGAGAGGGUGACCGGCCACAUUGGGACUGAGCUACGGCCCAGACUCCUACGGGAGGCAGCAGUGGGGAAUAUUGCACAAUGGGCGGAAGCCUGAUGCAGCAACGCCGCGUGCGGGAUGACGGCCUUCGGGUUGUAAACCGCUUUCGCCUGUGACGAAGCGUGAGUGACGGUAAUGGGUAAAGAAGCACCGGCUAACUACGUG
This 468-nucleotide ribosomal RNA is filed under the name uncultured bacterium. RNAcentral's name for it is "partial 16S ribosomal RNA". It matches the Rfam family "Bacterial small subunit ribosomal RNA", at positions 28 to 507 of the family's 1533-position model. The record is from RNAcentral.